GUGUACGUAGCAUAACUGGUAAUGCACACGACUGUGAAUCGUGCCAAUGUGGGUUCAAAUCCCAUCGUACACCCCA
This 76-nucleotide transfer RNA is filed under the name Bacteroidota bacterium. RNAcentral describes it as "Bacteroidetes bacterium tRNA-His". It matches the Rfam family "tRNA". Rfam says of the family: Transfer RNA (tRNA) molecules are approximately 80 nucleotides in length. Their secondary structure includes four short double-helical elements and three loops (D, anti-codon, and T loops). The record is from RNAcentral. Lineage: Bacteria; Pseudomonadati; Bacteroidota.